Molecule: transfer RNA, 71 nt
Organism: Colletotrichum incanum
Lineage: Eukaryota; Fungi; Ascomycota; Sordariomycetes; Glomerellales; Glomerellaceae
Rfam family: tRNA
About the family: Transfer RNA (tRNA) molecules are approximately 80 nucleotides in length. Their secondary structure includes four short double-helical elements and three loops (D, anti-codon, and T loops). Further hydrogen bonds mediate the characteristic L-shaped molecular structure. tRNAs have two regions of fundamental functional importance: the anti-codon, which is responsible for specific mRNA codon recognition, and the 3' end, to which the tRNAs corresponding amino acid is attached (by aminoacyl-tRNA synthetases). tRNAs cope with the degeneracy of the genetic code in two manners: having more than one tRNA (with a specific anti-codon) for a particular amino acid; and 'wobble' base-pairing, i.e. permitting non-standard base-pairing at the 3rd anti-codon position.
Source: Rfam
AAGGUAUUAUCUUAACGUAAAGAAGAGCAUUACAACUUGCUAAAAUAUGAGUUCGAAUCUCAUAUACCUUA